This 587-nucleotide long non-coding RNA is filed under the name Homo sapiens (human). RNAcentral's name for it is "HSALNT0242963". Lineage: Eukaryota; Metazoa; Chordata; Mammalia; Primates; Hominidae. The record is from RNAcentral.
GGUCAUGGCAGAGGUGGGGUUGAAACACCGGACUUUGGACUUCUGGGUGAAGGCCCAGAGGAUGUGCCGGGAAAAGUCCUCUCUUAUUUUUAACCAGAUCCCUGUUGCUGUGGGUGAAGCCUCUUCCCUUUUUCCAAAAGGGAGAAAGGAAAGUGCUGGGCCGCAGAGAUGGGGUGGCGGUUCGUCUGGGACGGGCGUGGGAAGAGUUUUUUGCCCGUUGUGAGGUGGAGGAUGGUCUGUUGGAAGGCCCGCUGCUCAGAAUGGCUUCGGGACAUCAUUGCUGGCUCUCCAGGAGUCCUGGUGGGCACUGGCAGGAAGGAGCGUGGGCAGGGCCUUGGUGCAUGCACACUCCUGCCCCCAGCCAAGCCAGAACCUCUGCUAGCACCCUCGGACCUGCCAGAGCUGAAGAUGCCUGCAGUGGGGGCAGGACCAACUCUAAAAUGUGUGGAGCCCAGAACUAGAGGAAAGGCAGGGCCUCCUAUUCAAAGAUGAUUGAGAAGCUGGCCUGAGGGGCUGCAGCCUGUGGAGGGCAGAGACAUGCCAGGAAGCCUCAGCAGGGAAGAGCCGCCAUCCCACUGCCCUCCCUC